AUCAAAGAAGGAGGUUUGCCUAGGUAUUUGAGUUGUUUUAUCUUCACCUUCCUUGACAAAUGAGUUAGUUAUAGGAUGUUUCAUUAUUUAUCCUUUGAAUGUCUAAAUUGUUAGAAUCAAAUAUAUUAAUUUAACGAUUGAAUGUUUAAUUGUUAUGCAAACAUUGUUAAGCCAUAAACAUCGUAGCUUCUUAGAUGCAUUUGCUAAUGUUAUGUGAAAUAGGUGACAGAGAAUUAUUGGCUUGAUCUGGAG
This 252-nucleotide unclassified non-coding RNA is filed under the name Hevea brasiliensis (rubber tree). The record is from RNAcentral. Lineage: Eukaryota; Viridiplantae; Streptophyta; Magnoliopsida; Malpighiales; Euphorbiaceae.